GAUGAACGCUAGCUACAGGCUUAACACAUGCAAGUCGAGGGGAAACGGCAUCGAAAGCUUGCUUUUGAUGGGCGUCGACCGGCGCACGGGUGAGUAACGCGUAUCCAACCUGCCCAUCACUUGGGAAUAACCUUGCGAAAGUAAGACUAAUGCCCAAUGACAUCCCACGAAGGCAUCCGAAUGGGAUUAAAGAUUUAUCGGUAAUGGAUGGGGAUGCGUCUGAUUAGCUUGUUGGCGGGGUGACGGCCCACCAAGGCAACGAUCAGUAGGGGUUCUGAGAGGAAGGUCCCCCACAUUGGAACUGAGACACGGUCCAAACUCCUACGGGAGGCAGCAGUGAGGAAUAUUGGUCAAUGGGCGAGAGCCUGAACCAGCCAAGUAGCGUGCAGGAUGACGGCCCUAUGGGUUGUAAACUGCUUUUAUAAGGGAAUAAAGUGGGUCACGUGUGACUUUUUGCAUGUACCUUAUGAAUAAGGACCGGCUAAUUCCGUG
Molecule: ribosomal RNA, 492 nt
Filed under: uncultured bacterium
Lineage: Bacteria
Description: partial 16S ribosomal RNA
Rfam family: Bacterial small subunit ribosomal RNA
Source: RNAcentral